CAGUGGCUGUAUGCACUAAUACUGACAUUCAUAAAGUGAAGGUUUUUUUGAGAUACCAUGAUCCCUGAAGGAGGAGGGAAAUGUAUUUGUUUGAAACCCUAGUGAUGACUGAAGAAUUUGAAUAGGGUACAGUGAAGAUGACUUGUCUUUGUGCCACGAUGUCUGGGGUAAUUUGAAAGCCGAGGGUGACUAAAUGGGGCUGGAAUCAUCUCUCUGAAGGCGAUCUAUUUACUUACAUGCCUGGUGCCUAGGCUGGGAUGACUUGAAAGUCUAGUAAUGCAGACUGGAGCACCUACAUGUGACCUCACAUAUAGCUUGACUUCAACGACUGUGGUGGCCUCAAGGUCAAAUUAUGUGAUUCAAUGUGGGGAGGGACCACACAGGUACAAGAAGCACUGGGGCCCAUCUUGGAGUCUGGCUACCACAUUGGCCUGUAGGAUGGAGUAACCACUGUGUGAACCACUGGAUUUUGAAGACA
Molecule: long non-coding RNA, 478 nt
Organism: Choloepus didactylus (southern two-toed sloth)
Lineage: Eukaryota; Metazoa; Chordata; Mammalia; Pilosa; Megalonychidae
Exons: 3
Source: RefSeq, a predicted model, not a curated record